GACGAACGCUGGCGGCGUGCUUAACACAUGCAAGUCGAGCGGUAAGGCCCUUUCGGGGGUGCACGAGCGGCGAACGGGUGAGUAACACGUGGGUGACCUGCCCUCAGCUCUGGGAUAAGCCUGGGAAACCGGGUCUAAUACUGGAUAUGACUCCAUGACGCAUGUUGUGGGGUGGAAAGCCUUGUGCGGCUGAGGAUGGGCCCGCGGCCUAUCAGCUUGUUGGUGGGGUGAUGGCCACCAAGGCGACGACGGGUAGCCGGCCUGAGAGGGCGACCGGCCACACUGGGACUGAGACACGGCCCAGACUCCUACGGGAGGCAGCAGUGGGGAAUCUUGCGCAAUGGGCGAAAGCCUGACGCAGCGACGCCGCGUGAGGGAUGACGGCCU
This 387-nucleotide ribosomal RNA is filed under the name uncultured bacterium. Its description in RNAcentral is "bacterial SSU rRNA". It matches the Rfam family "Bacterial small subunit ribosomal RNA", at positions 28 to 417 of the family's 1533-position model. The record is from RNAcentral.